GUCUGGUCAAAGGUAGUGAGUUAUCUCGAUUGAUUGUUCACAAUCAGUUACAGAUCGAAAUCCUUGCUAUACUCUUUCCCCCCUUCUCACUACUGCACUUGACUAGUCUUAC
RNAcentral lists this Y RNA (112 nucleotides) under Microcebus murinus (gray mouse lemur). RNAcentral describes it as "Y RNA (ENSMICG00000021811.3)". It matches the Rfam family "Y RNA". From Rfam's summary of the family: Y RNAs are components of the Ro ribonucleoprotein particle (Ro RNP), in association with Ro60 and La proteins. The record is from Rfam by way of RNAcentral. Lineage: Eukaryota; Metazoa; Chordata; Mammalia; Primates; Cheirogaleidae.